This 476-nucleotide long non-coding RNA is filed under the name Rhinolophus ferrumequinum (greater horseshoe bat). RNAcentral describes it as "lncRNA (ENSRFEG00010001202.1)". The record is from RNAcentral. Lineage: Eukaryota; Metazoa; Chordata; Mammalia; Chiroptera; Rhinolophidae.
UUUUCUACCGCUUCGAUUUGGAGGGGGCGGGGGAAGACCUCCAGGAACCUCAUUUCAAGAGCGUGGAGGCAGAUAACCUGCCCCCAACACCACUCCAGCUUCUGCCAGACAGAUGGAACUCUCCAAUAUGAAAAUCUGCGCAGCCAUUCCAACAAGCAGGACUCUGCGCGAGGUUGUCCGAAAGAUGCGGAGGAAAAAGACUUAAGGACUGGCAGCGCUCUUACCCCAAGAUCGGUAAGUGAAAGUGGUUUUCGGAGGGGAGGAGGGCUACUCCUGACUGCUUUUGCUUGAGGCUUAAACCGCGACUUUGAGGUCCAGGGCUAAAGUGCUCCCCAGUUUUUAUUUUUUAUUUUUGAAAAAUUUCGUUAGCUGGGCGUCCUAUCAGCCGCAGUAGCUGAACGAGUGCAUGCUUUUCCCACGUCGGCAGAAAGUCACAGUGGAUCCCUAAGAAAAGAGGAUGUAGGCAGGACAAAGAG